Molecule: ribosomal RNA, 509 nt
Filed under: uncultured bacterium
Lineage: Bacteria
Description: partial 16S ribosomal RNA
Rfam family: Bacterial small subunit ribosomal RNA
Source: RNAcentral
GACGAACGCUGGCGGCGUGCUUAACACAUGCAAGUGGAGCGACGAACCAGGGCUUGCCCUGGGGCAGAGCCGCGAACGGGUGAGUAACACGUGGGUAACCUGCCUCGAUGAUCGGGACAACCCGGGGAAACCCGGGCUAAUACCGAAUGUGCUCCGACCACAUCAGUGGACGGCGUAAAGGAAGCUUCGGCCUCCGCAUCGAGAUGGGCCCGCGGCCCAUUAGCUUGUUGGUGGGGUAAAGGCCCACCAAGGCUUCGAUGGGUAGCUGGUCUGAGAGGACGAUCAGCCACACUGGGACUGAGACACGGCCCAGACUCCUACGGGAGGCAGCAGUGGGGAAUCUUGCGCAAUGCGCGAAAGCGUGACGCAGCAGCGCCGCGUGGGGGAAGACGGCCUUAGGGUUGUAAACCCCUUUCAGGAGGGACGAAGGUCGGCGCGUUAAUAGCGUGUCCGACUGACGGUACCUCCACAAGAAGCCCCGGCUAACUACGUGCCAGCCGCCGCAGUAA